This 21-nucleotide small nuclear RNA is filed under the name Arabidopsis thaliana (thale cress). RNAcentral describes it as "snRNA_15997". Lineage: Eukaryota; Viridiplantae; Streptophyta; Magnoliopsida; Brassicales; Brassicaceae. The record is from RNAcentral.
CCGUUACAAGUGAGAUUAUUC